This 1246-nucleotide ribosomal RNA is filed under the name metagenome. RNAcentral describes it as "bacterial LSU rRNA". It matches the Rfam family "Bacterial large subunit ribosomal RNA", at positions 1700 to 2925 of the family's 2925-position model. The record is from RNAcentral.
CGUGGUUAAGGAACUCGGCAAAUUGCCCCCGUAACUUCGGGAGAAGGGGGACCUCUGCUGGUGAUGGGCUUUACGUUCUGAGCUGGUGGGGGUCGCAGUGGCCAGGGGGAAGCGACUGUUUACUAAAAACACAGGUCCGUGCGAAGUCGUAAGACGAUGUAUACGGACUGACGCCUGCCCGGUGCCGGAACGUUAAGGGGACCGCUCAGCCAGCUUCGGUUGGCGAAGGUGAGAACUUAAGCGCCGGUAAACGGCGGUGGUAACUAUAACCAUCCUAAGGUAGCGAAAUUCCUUGUCGGGUAAGUUCCGACCUGCACGAAUGGCGUAACGACUUCCCCGCUGUCUCAACCACAGACCCGGCGAAAUUGCACUACGAAUAAAGAUGCUCGUUUCGCGCAGCAGGACGGAAAGACCCCGGGACCUUCACUACAGCUUGACAUUGGCGUUUGGAACGUCUUGUGUAGGAUAGGUGGGAGACUAGGAAGCUGUCACGCUAGUGAUGGUGGAGUCAUUGGUGAAAUACCACUCUGGUCGUUUUGAACGUCUAACUCUGGUCCGUGAUCCGGAUCGGGGACAGUGUCUGGUGGGUAGUUUAACUGGGGCGGUUGCCUCCUAAAGAGUAACGGAGGCGCCCAAAGGUUCCCUCAGCCUGGUUGGCAAUCAGGUGUUGAGUGUAAGUGCACAAGGGAGCUUGACUGUGAGACUGACAGGUCGAGCAGGAGCGAAAGCUGGGACUAGUGAUCAGGCAUCGGCGUGUGGAAGCGGUGUCGCUCAACGGCUAAAAGGUACCCCGGGGAUAACAGGCUGAUCUUCCCCAAGAGUCCAUAUCGACGGGAUGGUUUGGCACCUCGAUGUCGGCUCGUCGCAUCCUGGGGCUGGAGUAGGUCCCAAGGGUUGGGCUGUUCGCCCAUUAAAGCGGUACGCGAGCUGGGUUUAGAACGUCGCGAGACAGUUCGGUCCCUAUCCGCUGCGCGCGCAGGAGACUUGAAGGGGGCUGCCCCUAGUACGAGAGGACCGGGACGGACGAACCUCUGGUGUGCCAGUUGUACCGCCAGGUGCACGGCUGGUUGGCUACGUUCGGAAGGGAUAACCGCUGAAAGCAUCUAAGCGGGAAGCUCGCCUUGAGAUGAGGUCUCCCACCCCGUGAGGGGGUAAGGCUCCCGGUAGAUCACCGGGUUGAUAGGCCGGGGGUGGAAGCACGGUAACGUGUGGAGCUGACCGGUACUAAUAGGCCGAGGACUUGAUC